AAACGUAACUGGUGGUAUUUUCUUAGUUUUCCUCUCACCGUGUUCUCACCUCCACGUGGCAACAUAGAUUUUUAAUGAAGAUGUCAAUGUGAGGCGAGAUUGUGUGAUGAGCUGUCUGAGCAUCUACCUCAAUGAAGACCUGGAACCACUUGGUAAAGAAUAUGUGGUAUGUAUCAGAAUAGUGUGCCAGUAAUUUUUCCAUCUAGAUAAUAUGGAUUGUUCAUGAGAAUGGAAUGGACAUUAGGACACAUUGACCACCAGUAUUUCAACAUUGAGUCCAUUGGGUUGUUUUGAAUAAAAAAAAUCAUGCAAGGUAAAUGGUGGUAGAGCUGUCACUCUGAGGGAAUUAAAUCUGCUUGGUCCAGAGGAACCUGAAGAUGAAGUUGUCUGGGUUCUGGCACCCACAUGCCCCUUCUCCGCCAGAAACAACAAUCCUCGCCUAAACAACAAGGUGAUGACACAGACAUUUCCUAGUGCUCAUGAAACUGAAAUGAUUUUACUGCAUUGAUAUGAUUUUGGAAAUGUUUAUUAAGAAGUGCCUUGUAUCAUCAGGAUGCAUGUUCUGGACUGUCUGCUUACGAACUCAAGCGCCUUGAGAACAUCACGCACAAGGAAGCCUUCUUGUCGUCUCUGAAGAUAUGGCAAGUAUGUGGACAUUUUAGUAAAGGUAAAGGACUAAUAAGCUGUUUUCCAUUUCAUUUGCCCUCUCCCUACCUCAGUUUCCACCCUACUCUCCUCUUAGUCUCUUUUUCUCUCCCUCCUGCUCUUUCACUGUUGUCCCCCACUGUACGGUCCUUCUCUCCUUCUCCUUUCUUUCUUUUGUAUUCACUUGUUAUCUUACAGGUGUAACAUAGAUUUUAAAAAUAUAUAAAAUUAGAUUUUGGUGGGUUCUUGUAUUUUUUUUAACAAUGUAGUUUACAAAAUAUUGUAAUUUCUGUCUUCAUCCAUUAGCACACCUUUUAGUAUAAUUAUGGUUGCUGUUUAUACAGAAAAACAAGGAGAUAAUUAUUCUUCUUUGUCUCGCCCGCUCUCUCUCUCUCUCUCUCUCUCUCUCUCUCAAAAGGUAGUGGAAGAUCUGAGGCAGUCAGUGAAGCCAAAGCCCAAUGUCAAAAGGUUAAUGGCUUCAUUGGAAGAAAAAUCUCUGCAGUCUCCCCGGAAAUCCCUCCGUUCUAAAAUAGAAAACCUCACCCCAAGUGAAGGGUUGACCCAUAAUCAAGACAUUGAAUCCAGAGAGGCAGAGGAAGACAUGGCAGAAAAGACCAUGGGCAUCUACAAAGUACAAUCAAAGGAUCAUGGUCAAGGUGAUGGACGCUUCACUGAUGUCCGUGUUGUGCUGGAAGGUGUGGAGGUUCUCCACAACCUGUAGAGUGUCACUCAUGCAUGGGUUAUGUUAUAUGGCCUGAUCUACGCGCUCAAUUUGAACUACCCUAAAAGCCUGAAGUGUACAUUUGAGGUGUACCAGAAAAUCCUGAUGGACCUGGACUCAACCAAGCUUUCCCCGAAAGUACAGACACUGAAACUGAAAUUGCUCCAGUGGCUAAAAAUAACAACUUAUACAGCCCCUACCCAUUUUUUUUCACAUUGUGCUCCAACCCUGAGAUAUGUUAAAAUGAUUUCCUAGUUCUAUAAUGAUAUGUUAAUUAGCAACUGAAAAUGGAUCUCUGAGUACAGUUUUAUUUUUUAUUUAUUUAUUUUUUUGGGUGUCCAAGCAGUCAUGUGAUGUUCGAGUGUGGCUGUGUAAGUGGGUUCAUAUGGAUGGUUUCCUAAAUGUUGGCUGAUGUUAACUUGGCUCAAUCCAGAGUUUUGUAUAAAAGAUAAAUAUAAAUAAAUCUGGAAUUUUCCAGUUGGUCUAAUUCAAUGUGAUGCAUUUUUUGAUUUGGUUUAGUAUAUAAGCAUACAUUAAACAUGAUUCAAAUAAAUGUUAUUUAUAUUUUUUAGUUACCCCGAUUUAGUUCUCUUAAUUAUUAUGCAAUUUAUACAAUAAACUUUGUGUAUUUUAAAUAAAUACACUUUUUAUUAUUAAUUUAGAAUAAUUACACUUUACAUGAACUAAUUACGUAAACCUGAGGAUUAUGCAUUUAAAAUAAAUAGGUUUUAUUAUCCUUAUGAAAAUAAAUAGUAUAAAGUUUAUUUGGUAGAUUUGUGUUAAAAUUAUGAAAAAAAUAUAAAUGGUAAUUUGUCAUGUAAUAAAAUUACAUAAAUCUUAAUUUUUGGAUGAAAUAUUUCUGUGAGUGUGGUAGUAAAAAACAGCUUGAACUCGAAACACUGUAGAGAAAUCAAACUG
This 2284-nucleotide long non-coding RNA is filed under the name Danio rerio (zebrafish). RNAcentral's name for it is "im:7155955 (ENSDARG00000117809.1)". The record is from RNAcentral. Lineage: Eukaryota; Metazoa; Chordata; Actinopteri; Cypriniformes; Danionidae.